Molecule: ribosomal RNA, 1453 nt
Filed under: uncultured organism
Description: SSU rRNA
Rfam family: Bacterial small subunit ribosomal RNA
Source: RNAcentral
GGCCUAACACAUGCAAGUCGAACGGUAACAGGAAGCAGCUUGCUGCUUCGCUGACGAGUGGCGGACGGGUGAGUAAUGUCUGGGAAACUGCCUGAUGGAGGGGGAUAACUACUGGAAACGGUAGCUAAUACCGCAUAACGUCGCAAGACCAAAGAGGGGGACCUUCGGGCCUCUUGCCAUCGGAUGUGCCCAGAUGGGAUUAGCUAGUAGGUGGGGUAACGGCUCACCUAGGCGACGAUCCCUAGCUGGUCUGAGAGGAUGACCAGCCACACUGGAACUGAGACACGGUCCAGACUCCUACGGGAGGCAGCAGUGGGGAAUAUUGCACAAUGGGCGCAAGCCUGAUGCAGCCAUGCCGCGUGUAUGAAGAAGGCCUUCGGGUUGUAAAGUACUUUCAGCGGGGAGGAAGGCGAUAAGGUUAAUAACCUUGUCGAUUGACGUUACCCGCAGAAGAAGCACCGGCUAACUCCGUGCCAGCAGCCGCGGUAAUACGGAGGGUGCAAGCGUUAAUCGGAAUUACUGGGCGUAAAGCGCACGCAGGCGGUCUGUCAAGUCGGAUGUGAAAUCCCCGGGCUCAACCUGGGAACUGCAUUCGAAACUGGCAGGCUAGAGUCUUGUAGAGGGGGGUAGAAUUCCAGGUGUAGCGUGAAAAUGCGUAGAGAUCUGGAGGAAUACCGGUGGCGAAGGCGGCCCCCUGGACAAAGACUGACGCUCAGGUGCGAAAGCGUGGGGAGCAAACAGGAUUAGAUACCCUGGUAGUCCACGCCGUAAACGAUGUCGACUUGGAGGUUGUGCCCUUGAGGCGUGGCUUCCGGAGCUAACGCGUUAAGUCGACCGCCUGGGGAGUACGGCCGCAAGGUUAAAACUCAAAUGAAUUGACGGGGGCCCGCACAAGCGGUGGAGCAUGUGGUUUAAUUCGAUGCAACGCGAAGAACCUUACCUACUCUUGACAUCCAGAGAACUUAGCAGAGAUGCUUUGGUGCCUUCGGGAACUCUGAGACAGGUGCUGCAUGGCUGUCGUCAGCUCGUGUUGUGAAAUGUUGGGUUAAGUCCCGCAACGAGCGCAACCCUUAUCCUUUGUUGCCAGCGGUCCGGCCGGGAACUCAAAGGAGACUGCCAGUGAUAAACUGGAGGAAGGCGGGGAUGACGUCAAGUCAUCAUGGCCCUUACGAGUAGGGCUACACACGUGCUACAAUGGCGCAUACAAAGAGAAGCGACCUCGCGAGAGCAAGCGGACCUCAUAAAGUGCGUCGUAGUCCGGAUUGGAGUCUGCAACUCGACUCCAUGAAGUCGGAAUCGCUAGUAAUCGUGGAUCAGAAUGCCACGGUGAAUACGUUCCCGGGCCUUGUACACACCGCCCGUCACACCAUGGGAGUGGGUUGCAAAAGAAGUAGGUAGCUUAACCUUCGGGAGGGCGCUUACCACUUUGUGAUUCAUGACUGGGGUGAAGUAA